UAGAGUUUGGAUCCAUGGCUCAGAAUUGAACGCUGGCGGCAGGCCUAACACAUGCAAGUCCGAGCGGUAGAGAGAAGCUUGCUUCUCUUGAGAGCGGCGGACGGGUGAGUAAUGCCUAGGAAUCUGCCUGGUAGUGGGGGAUAACGUUCGGAAACGGACGCUAAUACCGCAUACGUCCUACGGGAGAAAGCAGGGGACCUUCGGGCCUUGCGCUAUCAGAUGAGCCUAGGUCGGAUUAGCUAGUUGGUGAGGUAAUGGCUCACCAAGGCGACGAUCCGUAACUGGUCUGAGAGGAUGAUCAGUCACACUGGAACUGAGACACGGUCCAGACUCCUACGGGAGGCAGCAGUGGGGAAUAUUGGACAAUGGGCGAAAGCCUGAUCCAGCCAUGCCGCGUGUGUGAAGAAGGUCUUCGGAUUGUAAAGCACUUUAAGUUGGGAGGAAGGGCAUUAACCUAAUACGUUAGUGUUUUGACGUACCGAC
This 483-nucleotide ribosomal RNA is filed under the name Pseudomonas sp. 01WB03.1-2. RNAcentral's name for it is "bacterial SSU rRNA". It matches the Rfam family "Bacterial small subunit ribosomal RNA", at positions 1 to 482 of the family's 1533-position model. The record is from RNAcentral. Lineage: Bacteria; Pseudomonadati; Pseudomonadota; Gammaproteobacteria; Pseudomonadales; Pseudomonadaceae.